UACGUAGGGUGCGAGCGUUGUCCGGAAUUAUUGGGCGUAACGGGCUCGUAGGCGGUCUGUCGCGUCGAAAGUGAAAACCCAGGGCUUAACCCUGGGCCUGCUUCCGAUACGGGCAGACUAGAGGUAUGCAGGGGAGAACGGAAUUCCUGGUGUAGCGGUGAAAUGCGCAGAUAUCAGGAGGAACACCGGUGGCGAAGGCGGUUCUCUGGGCAUUACCUGACGCUGAGGAGCGAAAGUGUGGGGAGCGAACAGG
This 253-nucleotide ribosomal RNA is filed under the name uncultured bacterium. RNAcentral describes it as "partial 16S ribosomal RNA". It matches the Rfam family "Bacterial small subunit ribosomal RNA", at positions 524 to 776 of the family's 1533-position model. The record is from RNAcentral.